RNAcentral lists this long non-coding RNA (2349 nucleotides) under Sus scrofa (pig). Its description in RNAcentral is "lncRNA (ENSSSCG00005028160.1)". Lineage: Eukaryota; Metazoa; Chordata; Mammalia; Artiodactyla; Suidae. The record is from RNAcentral.
UACUUGCCCAUGUUCUAUCUCACUGAUUUCCUCUUGCGUCUUUAUCAUUUCUUCCACACUGCAUACAUUGGCUUAAUUUGCUCUUUUUCUAGCUUCUUAAGGUAGACCUUCUCUUUUGCAGUAGAGAAUUUAAUGCUAUAAAGUCUCCUUCAAGUGCUGCUUUAGCUGAAUCCCACCGAUUCUGAUGCUUCUAUUUUCACUGAAUUCAAGAUAUUUCUCAUUCCCCUUUUGACUUUUCUUUGCUGUAUAGGUUUAAAAGUAUAAUGCUUAAUUUUCCAAUUGCUUCAGGACUUUUCUAAACAUCUAUUGUUGAGAUCUAAUUUUUGGUGUGGUCAGAAGGCAGACUUGUAUAAUUUCAUUUUAUCAAUUUAUUGAUAUGUUUUAUGGUCUAGCAUAGGUUCAACAAACUUUUUCUACAAAGAACUAAACAGUAAUUACAGAGGCUACAGAGGGUCUCCACUGUAUGUUUUCUUUGUUCCUUCUUCUUAGUGUGCUUUUAAACACAUAAAGCCACUUGUAGCCCACAAGCUGCACAAAACCAAGCCACAGGCUGAAUCUCCCCACAGCCUGUGGUUUGCCAGCCAAUGGCCUUGCAAAUGAUAUGGUCCAUCUUGGUCAAAGUGGCCUGUGCCCUGGAAAGUAGCUUUUAUUCUGCUGCCGAUAGGUGGGCAGCUCCAUCAUGUUGGUGGAUAACGCUCUUCAGGUCUCCAUAGCCUCCCUGUUUUUGUGGCUACUUGUUCCAUCAAUUAACGAGAGUGGAGGCUGUGAUCGCCAACUACAGCCGUGGACGUACGUCUCCUUUUGAUUCUGCAAGUUUCAGCUUCAUGUGUUUGAAUUUAUCUUAUUGCAGGCGUGCAUAUUUAGGAUUGGUGUGUCUCCCGCCUCCCUGAUCAUCUGGCAUGUCCCUCCUUUUCUCUGGCAGCCUUGUCUGCCGUUAACAGAGCGCGCCACUCCCGUGGUUCACACGGUACAGCCCGCAACAUCCUUUACUGCCAACCUACAUGUGCCUUCAUAUUUAAAGGGUUUCUUCUGGGAGUUCCCGUCAUGGCUCAGGGGUUAAGGAUCUGGUGUUGCCGUGAGCUAUGGUGUAGACUGCAGACGUGGCUUGGAUCCUGCGUUGCUGUGGCUCUAGCGUAGGCCAGUGGUUACGGCUCUGAUUGGACCCCUAGCCUGGGAAACUCCAUAUGCCACGGGAGCGGCCCUAGAAGGGCCAAAAAGACAAAAAAAAGAAAUUAUAAUAAAAAAAAUUGUAUACAACAAACAAGAAAUCAGUAAAACAAAUAAUUAAGGCUAAAUAAUUACUGAUAAAAUAGUUAUGAAGCUAAGUGCAAGAUUCAAAAAGAAUCCAUACACUGGAAAGGUUAGUUGUUGAAUGAUCUGCCAUUGAAAACCUCUAUGAUUCCGGUAACAACAACAAGAGAAAACAGCCUGGCCCAGGGCCCUUCCUUCAGCCUCUCCAUCCAAGCCUGACCUCAUCUUUGCACACACUCACCAGCAUUCACGUGCAGUGAGCCUGCCCUACCACACACCCCCAGCAUCCCCGUUCUGUCCUCACCAGUUACUGCUACUAGCAAGCUCUGGGUUACCUAUUAACAUGAUAAGGAAUCCUAAUAUAUCUUUAAAUCACCGAUCACAUUUUUUCAUAAAAUAGAGCCGAGGUCAAUUCCCUGAGUUCCUAUCGUGGCGCAGCAAAAACGAAUCUGACUAGGAACCACGAGGUUGAGGGUUCAAUCCCUGGCCUCGCUCAGUGGGUUAAGGAUCCGGCAUUGCCAAGAGCUGUGGUGUGGAUCGUAGAUGCAGCUCAGAUCUGGCAUUGCUGUGGCUCUGGCGCAGGCCAGCAGCAACUGCUCUGAUUAGACCCAUAGCCUGGAAACCUCCAUAUGCCACAAGUGUGGCCCUAAAAAGACAAAAACAAAACAAAACAAAAAACCCCAGAGGUCAAUUCUGUGGCAUGUCAUUUUAUCACUCUUUCACUAUUAACCAAAUAAGCAUCCUUUUCGCACAUUCGUCUUAUUAGAAUUAUACCUAGUAGACAUUUCUACUGAUAAUUAGGAGAAGAGGGUGCUAAGAUAAUUGUCUUAUUGAAGAAAAGCAGAGAUAACAUUAAGUUUAAAAAGUCAGAAGAGGGUGGAGGGUGGGGGAUGCACUGAGGGUUUGGGAUGGAAAUGCUAUAAAAAUUUGGUUGUGAUGAUUGUUGUACAUCUAUCAAUGCAAUACAUUCAUUAAGUAAUUUAAAAAAAAAAGUCAGGAGUUCCUGUCGUGGCGCAGUGGUUAACGAACCCGACUAGGAACCAUGAGGUUGCGGGUUCGAUCCCUGCCCUUGCUCAGUGGGUUAACGAUCCGGCGUUG